GCGUCGCACCCAUGGGGGAUGUGGGUGUUUUAACACCCACACUUUUCCUGGUGAGAGGGUUCAACACCCACACUUUUUAUGCAGUUUUGCAAGAACGUCUUAUUAAAGUCGCUCCUCCGUUUCUCUGGCCGCUCUUGUCUGCUGCGCUGCGCUGCACUGCCCUUCUCCCCCCUCCCCUCUCAAACAUGACGCCAGCUUUGAGUAUUACCGGAUGAUGAUUGGCUGUUCUGCCUUAAGUCCCGCCUCUCUUGAUCGGUCAGCUCCGUCAGCUCGCGCUGAGGAGGCGGGAACUUUGUUUAUUUACAUCUCCAUUUUUCAGUAUAAAUAAGAUACAGAAAAGAAAGAGGCAGGAGAAGAUUGACACCUUUUUCAAGAGAAAUCCUGAGAUGAGGUUGCUGGAGGCAUCAGUUUAAAGAGAGAGAGAGGCACAGAAAGUUUCACAGGUGAGCAAUGAAAAAUGAAUGUUACAGUUUGAGAAAGAGGUCUAUGAGAGAAGAGAGGAUGUGUUUG
This is a non-coding RNA of Misgurnus anguillicaudatus (oriental weatherfish), 510 nucleotides long. Lineage: Eukaryota; Metazoa; Chordata; Actinopteri; Cypriniformes; Cobitidae. The record is from RefSeq and is a predicted model, not a curated record.